This 396-nucleotide ribosomal RNA is filed under the name uncultured Glomeromycotina. RNAcentral describes it as "SSU rRNA". It matches the Rfam family "Eukaryotic small subunit ribosomal RNA", at positions 698 to 1092 of the family's 1831-position model. Lineage: Eukaryota; Fungi; Glomeromycota. The record is from RNAcentral.
CCUUUCUGAAGAACUGUAAUGCCAUUAAUUUGGUGUUGCAGGGAAACAGGACUGUUACUUUGAAAAAAUUAGAGUGUUUAAAGCAGGCUAACGCUUGAAUACAUUAGCAUGGAAUAAUGAAAUAGGACGUUUGAUCCUAUUUUGUUGGUUUCUAGGAUUGACGUAAUGAUUAAUAGGGAUAGUUGGGGGCAUUAGUAUUCAAUUGUCAGAGGUGAAAUUCUUGGAUUUAUUGAAGACUGACUACUGCGAAAGCAUUUGCCAAGGAUGUUUUCAUUAAUCAAGAACGAAAGUUAGGGGAUCGAAGACGAUCAGAUACCGUCGUAGUCUUAACCAUAAACUAUGCCGACUAGGGAUCGGAUGAUGUUAAUUUUUUAAUGACUCAUUCGGCGCCUUACG